UACGGAGGAUACAAGCGUUAUCCGGAAUGAUUGGGCGUAAAGCGUCCGCAGGUGGCUGUGUAAGUCUGCUGUCAAAGAGCAAAGCUCAACUUUGUAAAGGCAGUGGAAACUACACGGCUAGAGUGCGUUCGGGGCAGAGGGAAUUCCUGGUGUAGCGGUGAAAUGCGUAGAGAUCAGGAAGAACACCGGUGGCGAAGGCGCUCUGCUAGGCCGCAACUGACACUGAGGGACGAAAGCUAGGGGAGCGAAUGGG
RNAcentral lists this ribosomal RNA (253 nucleotides) under uncultured bacterium. RNAcentral describes it as "partial 16S ribosomal RNA". It matches the Rfam family "Bacterial small subunit ribosomal RNA", at positions 524 to 776 of the family's 1533-position model. The record is from RNAcentral.